Molecule: ribosomal RNA, 468 nt
Filed under: uncultured bacterium
Lineage: Bacteria
Description: partial 16S ribosomal RNA
Rfam family: Bacterial small subunit ribosomal RNA
Source: RNAcentral
GACGAACGCUGGCGGCGUGCUUAACACAUGCAAGUCGAACGGAAAGGCCCUGCUUUUGUGGGGUGCUCGAGUGGCGAACGGGUGAGUAACACGUGAGUAACCUGCCCUUGACUUUGGGAUAACUUCAGGAAACUGGGGCUAAUACCGGAUAGGAGCUCCUGCUGCAUGGUGGGGGUUGGAAAGUUUCGGCGGUUGGGGAUGGACUCGCGGCUUAUCAGCUUGUUGGUGGGGUAGUGGCUUACCAAGGCUUUGACGGGUAGCCGGCCUGAGAGGGUGACCGGCCACAUUGGGACUGAGCUACGGCCCAGACUCCUACGGGAGGCAGCAGUGGGGAAUAUUGCACGAUGGGCGGAAGCCUGAUGCAGCAACGCCGCGUGCGGGAUGGCGGCCUUCGGGUUGUAAACCGCUUUCGCCUGUGACGAAGCGUGAGUGACGGUAAUGGGUAAAGAAGCACCGGCUAACUACGUG